Molecule: ribosomal RNA, 253 nt
Filed under: uncultured bacterium
Lineage: Bacteria
Description: partial 16S ribosomal RNA
Rfam family: Bacterial small subunit ribosomal RNA
Source: RNAcentral
UACGAAGGGGGCUAGCGUUGUUCGGAUUUACUGGGCGUAAAGCGCACGUAGGCGGACCGUUAAGUCAGGGGUGAAAUCCUGGAGCUCAACUCCAGAACUGCCUUUGAUACUGGCGAUCUUGAGUCCGGAAGAGGUGAGUGGAACUCCUAGUGUAGAGGUGGAAUUCGUAGAUAUUAGGAAGAACACCAGUGGCGAAGGCGGCUCACUGGUCCGGUACUGACGCUGAGGUGCGAAAGCGUGGGGAGCAAACAGG